AGAGUUUGAUCCUGGCUCAGAACGAACGCUGGCGGCAGGCCUCAUACAUGCAAGUCGCACGAUUAAAGCUCCCUUCGGGGAGUGUAUAAAGUGGCAAACGGGUGAGUAACAGGUGGAUAAUCUGCCCUUUGGCGGGGGAUAACGGUUGGAAACGACCGCUAAUACCGCAUGUGAUUGCUUUUCCUCCGGGUUUAGCAAAGAAAGGCGCUUCACGGCGCCGCCAAAGGAUGAGUCCGCCCCCCAUUAGCUAGUUGGUAAGGUAAUGGCUUACCAAGGCUUCGAUGGGUAGCCGAGCUGAGAGGUUGAUCGGCCACACUGGGACUGAGAUACGGCCCAGACACCUACGGGUGGCAGCAGUAGGGAAUAUUGCGCAAUGGACGAAAGUCUGACGCAGCCAUGCCGCGUGAGUGAUGAAGGCCUUCGGGUCGUAAAGCUCUUUUCUGAGGGAAGAACAUCCAGUGCAGGAAAUGGCACUGGCUUGACGGUACCUCAGGAAUAAGGAGCGGCUAACUCCGUGCCAGCAGCCGCGGUAAUACGGAGGCUCCUAGCGUUGUUCGGAAUUACUGGGCGUAAAGGGAGCGCAGGCGGAAUGAUUAGUCUGAAGUGGAAGUCCGGGGCUCAACCUCGGAAGUGCUACGGAUACUGUCAUUCUUGAGAUCGUGAGAGGAAAGCGGAAUUCAGGGUGUAGCGGUGAAAUGCUUAGAUAUCCUGAGGAACACCAAUGGCGAAAGCAGCUUUCUGGCACUGAUCUGACGCUGAGGCUCGAAAGCGUGGGUAGCGAACGGGAUUAGAUACCCCGGUAGUCCACGCCGUAAACGUUGUCAACUAGGUGCGAGAGGUAUCGACCCCUUUCGUGCCGAAGCUAACGCAUUAAGUUGACCGCCUGGGGAGUACGCGCGCAAGCGUGAAACUCAAAGGAAUUGACGGGGGCCCGCACAAGCGGUGGAGCAUGUGGUUUAAUUCGAGGCAACGCGAAGAACCUUACCCAGGCUUGACAUCCCGUGACCGCCAUGGAAACAUGGUUUUCCCUUCGGGGACACGGUGACAGGUGUUGCAUGGCUGUCGUCAGCUCGUGUCGUGAGAUGUUGGGUUAAGUCCCGCAACGAGCGCAACCCCUAUCCUUAGUUACAGCACGUUAUGGUGGGCACUCUAAGGACACUGCCGGUGAUAAGCCGGAGGAAGGUGGGGACGACGUCAAGUCAUCAUGGCCCUUACGCCUGGGGCCACACACGUGCUACAAUGGCCGGUACAAUGAGCUGCAAAGCCGCGAGGUGGAGCGAAUCUCAAAAAGCCGGUCUCAGUUCGGAUAGGAGUCUGCAAUUCGACUCCUUGAAGUCGGAAUCGCUAGUAAUCGCGUAUCAGCUACGACGCGGUGAAUACGUUCCC
Molecule: ribosomal RNA, 1386 nt
Filed under: metagenome
Description: bacterial SSU rRNA
Rfam family: Bacterial small subunit ribosomal RNA
Source: RNAcentral